This 423-nucleotide ribosomal RNA is filed under the name uncultured bacterium. Its description in RNAcentral is "partial 16S ribosomal RNA". It matches the Rfam family "Bacterial small subunit ribosomal RNA", at positions 360 to 774 of the family's 1533-position model. The record is from RNAcentral.
AAUCUCCCGAAAUGGACGAAAGCCUGCCGGAGCAAGCCCGCGGGGGUGAGGAAGGCCUUCGGACGGUAAAACUCGGUUUUUGGGGAGGAACAAGAACCGCCGGAAAAGGCCGGUACCUGAACGGUACUUACCCAGAAGGCCACGGCAACCUACUUCCCGCCAGCCGCGGUAAUACGUAGGUGGCAAGCGUUAUCCGGAAUUAUUGGGCGUAAAGCGCGCGCAGGCGGUUUCUUAAGUCUGAUGUGAAAGCCCACGGCUCAACCGUGGAGGGUCAUUGGAAACUGGGAAGCUUGAGUGCAGAAGAGGAGAGUGGAAUUCCAUGUGUAGCGGUGAAAUGCGUAGAGAUAUGGAGGAACACCUGUGGCGAAGGCGACUCUCUGGUCUGCAACUGACGCUGAGGCGCGAAAGCGUGGGGAGCGAACA